GGUCCAUAUCAACUUUUCACUGAGAUGUUGUCCAGAAUUAGGCAACGGUACGAAGAUUGAGCAACAUUAAAGUUGCACGACCUAAUAGCAGUCAAUUGAAGUUAUGUGACCAAAUUGAAAUUAAGUGACAAGUUGAGUGAUCAUUAGCACUUGUGCAAUUAACCUGUGAAUUACAAGACAUGACUUGCACCUGACAUUGUUAUUUUAUCUGUCCAAAGUCUGUUAAAUUGCUUAUUUAUGAACAACUUUUCAUUUCAUUAUCAGAUUGGAUUGGCUAUGUCACCAUUGAGCAACAAUUCCCUUUUCCUGGAUUAUCAUCGAAACCCAUUUCC
Molecule: unclassified non-coding RNA, 332 nt
Filed under: Hevea brasiliensis (rubber tree)
Lineage: Eukaryota; Viridiplantae; Streptophyta; Magnoliopsida; Malpighiales; Euphorbiaceae
Source: RNAcentral